CCUACGGGUGGCUGCAGUGAGGAAUAUUGGUCAAUGGACGAGAGUCUGAACCAGCCAAGUAGCGUGAAGGAUGACUGCCCUAUGGGUUGUAAACUUCUUUUAUAUGGGAAUAAAAUGUUCCACGUGUGGGAUUUUGUAUGUACCAUAUGAAUAAGGAUCGGCUAACUCCGUGCCAGCAGCCGCGGUAAUACGGAGGAUCCGAGCGUUAUCCGGAUUUAUUGGGUUAAAAGGGAGCGUAGGUGGAUUGUUAAGUCAGUUGUGAAAGUUUGCGGCGCAACCGUAAAAUUGCAGUUGAUACUGGCAGUCUUGAGUACAGUAGAGGUGGGCGGAAUGCGUGGUGUAGCGGUGAAAUGCUUAGAUAUCACGAAGAACUCCGAUUGCGAAGGCAGUUCACUGGACUGCAACUGACACUGAGGCUCGAAAGUGUGGGUAUCAAACAGGAUUAGAUACCCUUGUAGUC
Molecule: ribosomal RNA, 460 nt
Filed under: uncultured bacterium
Lineage: Bacteria
Description: partial 16S ribosomal RNA
Rfam family: Bacterial small subunit ribosomal RNA
Source: RNAcentral